Molecule: long non-coding RNA, 1186 nt
Organism: Daphnia pulicaria
Lineage: Eukaryota; Metazoa; Arthropoda; Branchiopoda; Diplostraca; Daphniidae
Exons: 5
Source: RefSeq, a predicted model, not a curated record
UAUUCGGAGGUUGAGCUGUUUGAAAUUUUGAAAUUUGAAAAUUUGGAAGCAAUCCAGCCGUUCAUUCAUUCGUGGUUCGCGGAUGCUGUGAGGAAACUGUCGACUGUUACACUAGGUGGCUAAAACCUAAAAUUAUGUCCACCAGGUGGCUGAGUGUCCAUUCGUUACUCGUUAGUGACUACUGACUAGUGAGUGACAGACAAUUACCGCUAUUUUUUUUCCGAUUGAGCGAGUGUGAUUAUGAAUGGAAAUCGUUGUAGUGUACUGUAAAUUGAAAAGCCUAGUAUCUUGGAGCAGCUAUGGUACAUUUUGCCAAAAUGUCAAUGAUGUCUCUUUUCCCUGUACGGUCCCUGUACCUGCUGCACGUUUUGGUCAAAAACACUUCAGAAAAUUUAAAUUGAGUCGACAUUAGAAAAGCUGGCCAACUGUAGGUUCCUCUGCAACAUUUAUUCUGUGAGGGAUUGCAUAGCUUAAGCUAACUUUUAUAAUAUUAAUAGCCUGGUAAAGUCUGAUCUCCUUCGUUGCUGCACAACAUGCACAUGGAUUUGAUGUAGCCAGAUGGUUAAAGGUGUUCAUCUUGCUACUUGUAUUGUGUGUGUUUCUUCACAUGAAAAAACACUUAAGAACAAUUGAAGUUUAUCGUUUAUGUUCCCGUUGUUGCUGUCCGAUGUGGGACGUUAUUGUAGCCUAUGCUGGUGAAAGAUUUUUUUACAUCAUGUUUAACUGCAGGCUGUUCCUUGGUGCUGGUGUCGGUUACCGAAGUUGCAUCAUUAUUUUGUUUAAUUGUCAUUGGGCCUGCAGUUUAUCGAUUACAUGUUAAGAGGGAACAAAAAUACGGGGAAUUCAUGUUAAAAAAAUAAUAAAUAUAUUUCUGGGAUUGGGAAAGGAACGUAGAGGAUGUUGGGGGGGGGGGAUUGAAUUUCAAAAAAUGCUGAGGUUUGUUGUAAAAAAUUGUUACCUACAUGUUAGGUAAUGAUAAACAAUAACUUAUAAUCCCACUAAAACACACCUUCAUAUAUUUCCGACACCCCUAUUAACCUUUAAUCCUAUAAACAUAUACCAUCAUAUCGUUUUCCACACCCCUAAAAUUCCACCAACAAAAAUUUACCUUUCCUCAAACUCCUUUCCAUGUAACUCUUGUAGUGAAAAAUUAAUUUAAUAAACAAAUCCCUUUAUUUAUUUAAAA